AUCGCUUCUCGGCCUUUUGGCUUAGAUCAAGUGUAGUAUCUGUUCACGUCAGCUUAAUAAAGCCAAUUAGAUUUUCACACAAAAAAGAAAAGGGUGCCUAGCUGGCCCAGUCAACAGAGUAUUUGACUCUUAAUCUUGGAAUUGUGAGUUUGAGCUCCACUUUGGGGAUGGAGUUUACCUAAAAGAAAGAAAGACAGAGAGGAAGAAUUCAAACUCUUUAAUUUUUU
This 227-nucleotide small nuclear RNA is filed under the name Suricata suricatta (meerkat). RNAcentral describes it as "U2 spliceosomal RNA (ENSSSUG00005017155.1)". The stretch from base 1 to 192 matches the Rfam family "U2 spliceosomal RNA". Rfam says of the family: U2 is a small nuclear RNA (snRNA) component of the spliceosome (involved in pre-mRNA splicing). Complementary binding between U2 snRNA (in an area lying towards the 5' end but 3' to hairpin I) and the branchpoint sequence (BPS) of the intron results the bulging out of an unpaired adenosine, on the BPS, which initiates a nucleophilic attack at the intronic 5' splice site, thus starting the first of two transesterification reactions that mediate splicing. The record is from RNAcentral. Lineage: Eukaryota; Metazoa; Chordata; Mammalia; Carnivora; Herpestidae.